GCCCUGGUAGUCCACGCUGUAAACGAUGUCGACUUGGAGGUUGUGCCCUUGAGGCGUGGCUUCCGGAGCUAACGCGUUAAGUCGACCGCCUGGGGAGUACGGCCGCAAGGUUAAAACUCAAAUGAAUUGACGGGGGCCCGCACAAGCGGUGGAGCAUGUGGUUUAAUUCGAUGCAACGCGAAGAACCUUACCUACUCUUGACAUCCACGGAAUUCGCCAGAGAUGGCUUAGUGCCUUCGGGAACCGUGAGACAGGUGCUGCAUGGCUGUCGUCAGCUCGUGUUGUGAAAUGUUGGGUUAAGUCCCGCAACGAGCGCAACCCUUAUCCUUUGUUGCCAGCACGUAAUGGUGGGAACUCAAAGGAGACUGCCGGUGAUAAACCGGAGGAAGGUGGGGAUGACGUCAAGUCAUCAUGGCCCUUACGAGUAGGGCUACACACGUGCUACAAUGGCAUAUACAAAGAGAAGCGAACUCGCGAGAGCAAGCGGACCUCAUAAAGUAUGUCGUAGUCCGGAUUGGAGUCUGCAACUCGACUCCAUGAAGUCGGAAUCGCUAGUAAUCGUAGAUCAGAAUGCUACGGUGAAUACGUUCCCGGGCCUUGUACACACCGCCCGUCACACCAUGGGAGUGGGUUGCAAAAGAAGUAGGUAGCUUAAC
This 656-nucleotide ribosomal RNA is filed under the name bacterium YG-19. Its description in RNAcentral is "bacterial SSU rRNA". It matches the Rfam family "Bacterial small subunit ribosomal RNA", at positions 784 to 1439 of the family's 1533-position model. The record is from RNAcentral.